This 796-nucleotide ribosomal RNA is filed under the name uncultured bacterium. RNAcentral's name for it is "bacterial SSU rRNA". It matches the Rfam family "Bacterial small subunit ribosomal RNA", at positions 64 to 875 of the family's 1533-position model. The record is from RNAcentral.
CGAUGAUGGGAGCUAGCUUGCUAGAAGAAGUCAUGGCGGACGGGUGAGUAACGUGUAAAGAACUUACCAUAUAGACUGGGAUAACAGAGGGAAACUUCUGGUAAUACUGGAUAAGUUAGAAGUAGCAUUACUAAGUAAUGAAAGGUAGCAAUACGCUAUACGAGAGCUUUGCAUCCUAUUAGCUAGUUGGUGGGGUAAAAGCCCACCAAGGCGAUGAUAGGUAGCCGGCCUGAGAGGGUGGACGGCCACAAGGGGACUGAGAUACGGCCCUUACUCCUACGGGAGGCAGCAGUGGGGAAUAUUGGACAAUGGAGGCAACUCUGAUCCAGCAAUUCUGUGUGUGUGAAGAAGGUUUUAGGACUGUAAAACACUUUUAGUAGGGAAGAAAGAAAUGACGGUACCUACAGAAGAAGCGACGGCUAAAUACGUGCCAGCAGCCGCGGUAAUACGUAUGUCGCGAGCGUUAUCCGGAAUUAUUGGGCUUAAAGGGCAUCUAGGCGGUUAAACAAGUUGAAGGUGAAAACCUGUGGCUCAACCAUAGGCUUGCCUACAAAACUGUAUAACUAGAGUACUGGAAAGGUGGGUGGAACUACACGAGUAGAGGUGAAAUUCGUAGAUAUGUGUAGGAAUGCCGAUGAUGAAGAUAACUCACUGGACAGCAACUGACGCUGAAGUGCGAAAGCUAGGGGAGCAAACAGGAUUAGAUACCCUGGUAGUCCUAGCUGUAAACGAUGAUCACUGGGUGUGGGGAUUCGAAGUCUCUGUGCCGAAGCAAAAGCGAUAAGUGAUCCGCCUG